ACUGAUCAAAAGAGCGGUUCGCAACUCGGGAACCUAAUAGGUUCCCCAAGCGGUGUUUCUCUUCGAGAGACAACGUUGCCAAACCGUUUCAUUUGUU
RNAcentral lists this transfer RNA (97 nucleotides) under Rosistilla carotiformis. RNAcentral's name for it is "Planctomycetes bacterium Poly24 tRNA-Ile". Lineage: Bacteria; Pseudomonadati; Planctomycetota; Planctomycetia; Pirellulales; Pirellulaceae. The record is from RNAcentral.